This 427-nucleotide ribosomal RNA is filed under the name uncultured bacterium. Its description in RNAcentral is "partial 16S ribosomal RNA". It matches the Rfam family "Bacterial small subunit ribosomal RNA", at positions 355 to 774 of the family's 1533-position model. The record is from RNAcentral.
UGGGGAAUAUUGCACAAUGGGCGCAAGCCUGAUGCAGCCAUGCCGCGUGUGUGAAGAAGGCCUUCGGGUUGUAAAGCACUUUCAGCGAGGAGGAAGGCAUAAAGGUUAAUAACCUUUGUGAUUGACGUUACUCGCAGAAGAAGCACCGGCUAACUCCGUGCCAGCAGCCGCGGUAAUACGGAGGGUGCAAGCGUUAAUCGGAAUUACUGGGCGUAAAGCGCACGCAGGCGGUUUGAUAAGUCAGAUGUGAAAUCCCCGCGCUUAACGUGGGAACUGCAUUUGAAACUGGCAAGCUAGAGUCUUGUAGAGGGGGGUAGAAUUCCAGGUGUAGCGGUGAAAUGCGUAGAGAUCUGGAGGAAUACCGGUGGCGAAGGCGGCCCCCUGGACAAAGACUGACGCUCAGGUGCGAAAGCGUGGGGAGCAAACA